UGAACGCUGGCAGCAUGGAUAAGACAUACAAGUCGGACGAUUCUUUAAGGUAAGCUUGCUUAUUUUAAAGAGUAGUGGCAAACGGGUUAGUAACACGUGAUUAAUCUGCCCCUUAGUCUGGAAUAACUUAAAGAAAUUUAAGCUAAUACCAGAUGCUUCUUUUUAAACAUAAGUUAAAAAAGAGAAAGAAUGCAAAUUCGCUAAGGGAUGAGAUCGCGGCCUAUCAGCUAGUUGGUGAGAUAAUAGCUCACCAAGGCUAAGACGGGUAGGGGGUGUGAGAGCAUGGUCCCCAACAAUGGCACUGAGACACUGGCCAUACUCCUACGGGAGGCUGUAGUCGAGAAUAUUCCGCAAUGGACGAAAGUCUGACGGAGCAAUGCUGCGUGCUCGAAGAAUCUCUUCGGGGUGUAAAGAGCUUUUCUAUCAGAAUAAUCUUUUAUUACUUGUAAUAAUAGAUGAAGGUACGGUAGGAAUAAGGGGGUGCUAAUUCUGUGCCAGCAGCAGCGGUAACACAGAACCCUCAAGCGUUAUUCGGAUUUAUUGGGCGUAAAGCGUCCGCAGGCGGUUAGACAAGUCUUUAAUUAAAGCUUUAAAGCUCAACUUUAGAGAUAUUAAAGAUACUAUUUAACUUGAGGAUGUCAGAGGUAGAUGGAAUUCUUGGUGUAGGGGUGAAAUCCGUUGAUAUCAAGAGGAACACCGAAAGCGAAGGCAGUCUACUGGGGCAUUCCUGACGCUCAUGGACGACAGCGUGGGGAGAAAAGAGGAUUAGAUACCCUCGUAAUUCCACGCCGUAAACGAUGGAUACUAGCUAUUGGAGGUGUCGACCCCUUCAGUGGCGAAGCUAACGCGUUAAGUAUCCCGCCUGGGAAGUACGGUCGCAAGACUAAAACUCAAAGGAAUAGACGGGGCUUCACACAAGCGGUGGAUCAUGUGGCUUAAUUCGAUACCACACGGGAAACCUUACCAGGACUUGACAUGUUAAUGAAACUCUCUGAAAAGAGAGCCUCCUUCGGGACAUUAUCACAGGUGUUGCAUGGUUGUCGUCAGUUCGUGUUUUGAAACGUACCAUUAAGUUGGGUAACGAACGAAACCCUUAUUCUAUGUUUUAUAUGUCAUAGAAAACUGCCCAGCCCAAAGCGCAUUUUAUAAUUAUAAAAUGAAUUUUGGGCUGGGAGGAAGGUGAGGAUGACGCCAAAUCAGCAUGACCCUUAUGUUCUGGGCUGCACACAUGAUACAAUGGCUAGUACAGCGAGUGGCGAAACAGUAAUGUUGAGCUAAUCUUUAAAGCUAGUCUAAGUUCGGAUUGAGGUCUGCAACUCGACCUCAUGAAGUCGGAAUCGCUAGUAAUCGCGAAUCAGCAUGUCGCGAUGAUAGUUCCUGAGCUCACUCCCGCCCGUCAG
Molecule: ribosomal RNA, 1400 nt
Filed under: uncultured bacterium
Lineage: Bacteria
Description: bacterial SSU rRNA
Rfam family: Bacterial small subunit ribosomal RNA
Source: RNAcentral